AGAAGCUAGGAUUUGGUAUUAGAUUUCCACAAAAGUCCACUAUUUGUUGGUAUUGGGAUGUGAUAUACCUGUGGCUGUGACUGAGAGGUCAUCGUGGCAAAGCUACUAUCUCCACUGGUGUGUCACCCCCCCCCCCCCCCCGCAUAUGUCCUCUGGGUGUGCUCAUAACAGUGUGUAAGGCCUGACAGAUGUGUGCCUCUUUCCUUCAGCAUUCGGGAAAUAGCGCAGUCCCACAGAGACAUGGAACAGGAACUCGCACAUGCUGUCAACGCCAGCUCCAAAGCCAUGGAGCGAGUGUACGGCAAGCCCAGAGCUGCAGAGGGGUUGAACUGCAGCUUUGUUCUGGAGAUGGUGAAUAACAUCAGAGCACUGCGCAGUGAGACAGAGCUGCUGCUGGCUGGGA
This 403-nucleotide long non-coding RNA is filed under the name Rattus norvegicus (Norway rat). Its description in RNAcentral is "long non-coding RNA NONRATT029643". The record is from RNAcentral. Lineage: Eukaryota; Metazoa; Chordata; Mammalia; Rodentia; Muridae.